RNAcentral lists this long non-coding RNA (563 nucleotides) under Gopherus evgoodei (Goodes thornscrub tortoise). RNAcentral's name for it is "lncRNA (ENSGEVG00005015488.1)". The record is from RNAcentral. Lineage: Eukaryota; Metazoa; Chordata; Testudines; Testudinidae.
GUGCUGACUUGUGGCUGCGAUCUUCCACAUCCACAUACAAUCAUAUGUGCAUAAUUACUCAAACCUGACUAUGCAAAAUUGUGUCUAAUUUUAGAGACUACUUUAGAUAUUAUUACUGGGACCCUAAGGAUGCUCUAUAGAAGAAUUUAUGUACUCUUUGAGCACUCUUCUUUUCCAAAGACAAGCACUCACACUGAAAACCUCAACUUGAAUCAUCACAGGACAUGCUCCUUCCAUUGAUGCUGAAAUACACUGAUCACUGAAGAGGUUUCAGAAACUCAAGACAGAUGCUUCUCAGUUGGAGGCCUUUCCUGCAUAUGUUAACAAGGACUUUCCAUUUGCCAUUGAACUAUAAAAUAACAGGUCUGUGUGGUGAAGAGCAAACAACCUGGGUGAACUUAUGAUUGUGAGUGGAUGGAAACAGGCACAGUACUGCAGCAGAACACCAGCUGCAGCACAAAUCCGCAAAAGAGACUGUGGAACAUGUUCUAAGCAGAAGCUCUUCAGUGAGGCUGCAAGAAGAGAGUUUAGAAAUAAUACUGCUUUGGUUGUUCUAAUGAAGU